This 11694-nucleotide long non-coding RNA is filed under the name Cucumis sativus (cucumber). Its description in RNAcentral is "long non-coding RNA (CSAT_LNC002290)". Lineage: Eukaryota; Viridiplantae; Streptophyta; Magnoliopsida; Cucurbitales; Cucurbitaceae. The record is from RNAcentral.
GUUUAGAUGGACAAUCAAUUCGUCCAGCCCUAAUUUGAUGCAAGAAGAAUUCCUUGUUUUUUAAAAAGAUGAACUACUAAAUUUUCCUUUUCCCAUCAAUAUCUCUACGAUUUAAUAGAUUUUGAUCUCAACAAAGUUUAUUAUAUCGUAAAAAUAGCGAGUAAUUUCUUCCUGGAUAGAAAUUUGGAACGCUAAAACCAUCAACUUUUAAAUUGAAGCUGGGUGAAGUAGUUAAACAACACGGCCAAUAAAUUCCAUCCAGAAAGCCAAAUGGUCAAAGCAUUCUUUCUAUAAACCAAUGGCAAACAGUCCGUUCAAAACCUACAUUGUUAGUUAGUUCAUAAAGAAUUUAAAAUCCAGUAACAGAUUUUUUUUUUUUUUUGUGGAAAAUAUCAAACUAUUUCCAGUAAUGGCGUCGCGGGUAAAUCUUCUUUCAACUACCGGCGGUGGAGAACCCACUAACCGAGGUUAAAACCGAAGAAGAGGAGGAAUCCCUCAGAGAUCCAUGUCAAAUCAUUCACAAAGCGUCAUACGGCACUUGCAAUUUCAAGGAUUUCCUCAUUGGGACAAAAUCAAAAAGUAGAAAAAACAAUUUAAGAAAAAUAAUAAUAACAAAACGCCAUGAACCUACUUGGGAAACUGAAACUAAGAAAGAAGAUGGAAUUAGAGUAGAAGGCAAAUGUGAGAAUUGAGAAGCAGUAGAUUGAGUACAUAUAGACGUCGAGCAAAAACCCUAAUGGGGAACGCUUCCCUUUUUCGGGCUUUUGUAUGAAGAUUUAAGCCUUUGGGCCUCUCCUCCGGCCCCUAAUAUUUUCUGUUACACUUUUAUAAAUUUUGGUUUUUCUUGUAGGAGCCACCGGAUAAAUACCAAAAAAUAAUGUUUACUAUGUAAAAAUAGAAAAUUUUAUUUUAAUUAUAAAAAUGACAAAAACGAAAUAAAUAAAAUAAGAAAUACACCAUAAAUUUUUUAUUUUUUACCAAAAAGAAAACCCAAAAUCUUUUCAUCUUCAGUGGUGGACCCCUUGAACGUUCAAAACCUUGACAAUUGUGACAACAAAACCAAGGGGACUCUGUCCAUCAUCCCAAACUUGAGAUAUUUAAAAUUAACAAAUUGGAAGAUAUUAGAUUAUUAUAAAGAGGGAUACAAUUUAUAAAUAAAUAUUCAUUUAUUUUAGGAUAAUGAAUAUUAACAGAUUUUGACCCUACUUAUAGGGAGAAUAAAAUGUAACUAAUCAAUAUUUAAAAAUGAUUAUCUAUCUAAUAAAUUUAAAUAAAUAUUAAGGAUAUGAAAAAAAAUAGACAAGUGAAGGAAGAAAGGGUAAGUGAACGAUUAAGAGUUGUGUUUGAAUAAACCGGCUUCAAAAGAACCAAUAUCUUUGACAAGUGGGGACUAGGUAUGCAUUCCAUCUCUUUUAUCAAAAGUAACAAAAGAACUACUGUAAUUGUUGUUGGUAAAUAUAAUUUAUUGAUUGUUAUUAAUAAAAUGUUAUUAUUAUAAUAAAUGUUAUUGAUUAUAUUAUUAGUUUUGUCUUAAUAACUCAAAUCCAAUAAACUUACAUCCUAAGCUAUUUGAUAAGUCUUGAACAUAAUGUAAAUAUAUAUGGAUCAAUAUUAACUUAAAUGGUAUAUAGUGUAGGGAUAAGGUUGGGUACUUUAUCUUGGUAACACUAUGGAUACGGCUCACUUUGUAUUUGAUACAAACGUGCAAUGAUCCAACGUGUUCAUGUAGUUUACAUGCGAGGUGAGGUUGCUAUUGUGAUGGGUACUAAAGGAAAGAGAGUUAUAAAUAUGUAAAAGAAAAAAUAGUUUUUCUAGAAGCCAAUGUUUUUGUUUUCUGCAAAAAUAGUUUCCCUCUAAACUUUUUUCCAUCCUAAUUGGUUCCUACAAUCCAAUCUCAUCCCAAACAAUAGGUAGAUCUCUGAGGAGUGAUGUCCCAAUUUAGAGAUUUUGUAGAUUUAGAAGUGCCAAACUACCUAAGUUUUACAUUCUAUGUAUCUUUUAAUUUAAAAGUAUGCUUAGUUUUUAAAAAUUUGUUUCUAAAUAUUGUCAAUGCUUGGUAUUUUGGAAUUUCCAAAUUAAAUGGAAUAAUAGUUCUAUAAAAUCUUUCAUUGCCUAAGGCAUUUAUCCCUUCCAUGGAUAUCAGAGUCAUCUCAAAUUUUAAUUAAGAAUUUUAAAAAAUGCAUUACUUAGGUGAGAUUUUUGCAUUAUGAAUGUGGCUUGCAAUUUGAUGUUUUAUGUAAAAUUUGACCAUAGUUUUACAACUUUUUAUAUGAUCAUGUAAAGGUCAGUGCAUUUUUGGAUAAUUUUAAUUUUAAACUUGUAAUUUUGAGUCCAAUUUUAAGAUUAGUGGUAUUUUUUUUGAGAAAAACAGUACCAAAUUUGCCUAAAGCGGAUCACCGAAAGGCCUUCACUAGGAGGAAUUACGUAACUGCACGGAAAUCGAGGAGAAAAAAAUUUCACACGCGUAUGAAAGUAGGACUGACAUCAACAACACAACUAUCAACAACUUAUGUGCACGACAUAGAUGAAUUUUGAACUGACCCAUAACAACAAAACUAUCAGCAACUUGUACAACAAACUGGAGACAAUGAUCCGGCUCUCAAAUCAUGACUUUUUCGGGAUGAGAUCAAAUCAGUGAUAUUCUCCUUUGACAACAACAAAGUCCCUAGUUCUGAUGGCUUCCUUAGGCAUUUCUACAAGAAUUUCUGGAACAUCCUAAAAACAGACAUCCUCACACCUUUUCUAAUACUAUCAACGAGAACCAACUUGCUUUUGUGGAGGGCAGACAAAUAACUGAUGCAAUCCUUAUGGUCAAUGAAGCAGUUGAUUUUUGGAGAGUGAGUAAAAAGAAAGAUUUUGUCAUCAAGCUGGAUAUUGAAAAAAGCCUUUGACAAACUUAGUUGGGGCUUCAUUGAUUAUAUGCCCAGGGUCAAGAAUUACCCAUCCACUUGGAGAAAAUGGAUUUAGGUUUGCAUCAGUAAUGUCAAAUAUUCAGUGUUGAUCAACGAGAAGGCAUACAAUCAAGUUCCAUCAAAUAGGGGUAUCAGGCAAGGAGACCCUAUUUCUCUUUUUAGCUUUGUGCUGGUAAUGGACUAUCUUAGUAGGCUCUUGAAGUAUUUAGAGAAAACGGAUGCGAUAAAAUGUGUUUUUUUCAACUAGAAUUGCAUCCUUUCACAUAUUUUCUUUGCAGACGAUAUUCUCUUUUAAAACCUCUGUAUGGCAAUUAUUUUCUUUGAAAGAGCCUUAGGUCUCAACAUUAGUCAUACAAAAUUCUCCAUUUUUUCUAUGAAUGUAGCUUCGAUCCGAGCCAAUGAUGUUGCAAACACUUGGAAGAUUCCAAUCCACAACCUCCCUACCUAAUAUUUGGGAGUCCCUCUUAGAGGCAACCGUUUAUCCAAAGCUUUCUAGGAGAAUGUCGAGGAAAAAUUCCACAAAAAGCUCAGCAAAUGGAAGUACUCACACAUAUCCAAAGGAGGUAGGCUCACUUUGAUCAAAUCUUCGUUAUGCAGUCUUCCCACUUACCAUCUUUCAAUGUUUAAGGCUUCAACAUUUGUAUACAAAAAUAUAGAAAAACAUUGGAAAAAUUUUCUUUGGAAGGGGUCCUCUGAUAAAAAAUUAAAGGCUCGCAUCUAAUAAAGUGGACUAAAGUCAUAAGUCCUCGUGAUAAAGGAGGCUUAGGUAUCGCUAGCAUGAAGAUGACCAAUUUUGCUUUGCUAUGAAAAUGGUUAUGGAUAUACCAAAUGGAACCAAAUACCCUCUGAAGAAAAAUUGUUCAAGCUAAGCACCACAACAAUUGUAUUGGUUCUAUCCUUAUUGAUAGCAAAAGUUGCAGUGCAAAAGCCCCUUGGAAAGUUAUUGUUAAAGAUCUGAGCUGGUUUGAAAAUCACUAUGAAUGAGAAAUCAACAAUGGUGAACUCAUCUCCUUCUGGCAUGGAAACUGGCAUCCUCUUAACCCACAAUCCAUCCAAUUCCCACAGUUCUUUGUCCUCUGCCAAUCCAAAAAUGCUUAUUUUAAAGAUCUUUGAGACAACUCAAACAACUAGUGGUUAUUAAAUCCCAGAAGACCAUUCAAUGCCAGAGAAUCACAAACUUGGGAUGAGAUGAAGAGCAUUCUUCCAACACCUUGUGCCAACAAAGGAAUAAGCAAACCAAUAUGGGAUCUCAGUAAAGAUAGACAAUUCUUCAUUGCCUAUAUCAAGAACGCAUUAGUUACUGAUAUUCAAUCCAUUCUCAUGGGCUUUGAUCAUCAUCACUUCUCAAACCUCUGGAAGGCGGUCAUUCCAAAUAAAUGCAAUUUUUUCACUUGGUGUAUCAUUCAUGGGGGAAUUAAUAUUAUGGAGCUAUGGCAAAAGAGAAAUUUGAGCACUUGUCUUAACCCUCACUGGUGCUCUCUUUGUCAGUCAAACAACGAGGAGAUUGAUCACUGCUUUUAUUAGUUGCAGGACCACUGCUUUUCUUUGGGACGCUUACUCAAUUUUACAAAAUCACCCAAAAGAAAUGUCAUUCUCUUUAGUGCUGCAAUCGCUAUUCUAUGGAGCUCUUGGCUGGAAAAAAAAUAACAGGAUCUUCAAAGACAAACAAAAAAGUCUUCUAAACCUUUGGGAAGAUUGUUGUAAUUACAUAGGCCUUUGCUGUAGUAGACACAAACUCUUUAAAGACUAUAAGGCUCACCCCAUACCUCUCAAUUUCCAAACUUUUUCUCAACUAAUGUUCUUUGGGCUCUCCUUCACCCCUCUGUACUUCUCUCUUAAUAUUAAUAAAUUUAUGGUGUUUGAGCUUUGCUCUCACUUUGUUUUCUCUUUAAAAAAAUCUAAACAAUCGAGACUAUUUACCAAAUCUAUUGUACAUGAGUGGUCAAUUAAUCGCAUGUCGACCAGAACGUUUUUUUGUGUUUUUCAUUAUGGGUCUACAGACUUUUUUUCAUUUUCAAAAUUGUUCUAUACAAUGUAAAUAUUUUUCCGAUUUAUUAUAUUAUUUUUUAAAAAAUUUCAAAAUAAGUCAACAAUUUCGUUUCAAUUCUAGAUUUAGUAAUACUUAUGCUCAUUUGUGUGUAUAUUUAUGUACAUUUUGAUUUAAUUAAGAUCAAUUAAGAAUUAAAUCAAAUGAUUAAGAUUUGUAUACUUUUUUUUAAACAGACAAAAAUGAACCAAAUCAAUAAAUUUUAAAAUGAUUCAAAUUCAAACAUUAAAAAAGAGAGAAAAAAGGAAAUAAAACAUAAUCAUUCAAACAAAUAAAAAAUAUUUAAUAAAAACCAUUACAAUAUACAUAUCUCAAAUAAAUAGAAUUAAAAUGGAGUUUUUUUCAAACAUAUUUAAUUGGAUUCAUUCUUGAAUUAAAAAAAUAACCCAAAUAUAAGAAUUAGAUUUAAAAUAAUAAAGUAUAUAAUAUUUUAAAACAAUUAUAAAUAUAGCAAAAUCUGCAAAAAUAUAUUACGGUAGACUAUAUUACAAAUACUACUGAUAUACUAUAAAAGUUUGUAAACUUUGUUAUAUUUAUAUUUUUUUUAAAUAUUGUUAUAUACCUAAUUAAUACCUCUAAAAUUACUACUAUCGACUUGUAAUGAGUUGUAAUAAAGAAGUAUUUACUCAAGUUUAAUAAAUCCAUAAGAACUAAAUUAUAAAUGGGAUCGUAAACAAUAUGAAAAGAAAAAAUUAUGUGGGGUGGCCUACUCAUAUAUAUAUAUAUAUAUGAAUAUUCUAACUUUUCUCUAAACCAUUUACAAUUUAUUAUUAAAGAAAAAAGAAUCUAAAAAGAAUUAAAAUGAUAAACUCUAAAAUGUUGCCGUUGGCUUCCUUUAUCAGGCCCCACGUUUUCAGCCACAAUCAAAAUUUGAAAAGAAGAAGACAAAGGUCAAACGGUGUCGUAAAGGAAGCUUUCUCCCACCCAACGGCUCGAUUGGGCAUGGGCUUCAGUGGAUGGGCACUACCGAAAUUUCCUCCUUCAAAAAUCAAAUUCAAAACCACGACUUGAACUUAAACAUUUUCAGAAAUCCGAUUCUGUACUCUAAGAUCUUCCAUUAAACCAAUCUCCUCCAUGGAUUUCACUCCUCCUUCUCACCGAUCCGACCCUCGAUCUCGCACAAAAUCAUCCUCACGCCUCGCCGUUGAAGCCGACCAAACACCCCAUUUCUCAGUCGACGCCAUUUCUUCGCCGCGAAGGAAAACCCCUUCCCCUUCCAUCCAGGACAUCUUGUUUCUUUCUCCUUCCACUGUCGGAAAAUCCAGGUCCCGUCUCGUGGAUCGCUUCGAAAUGAACGACGAAGUUCCGGAGCCCGCCGUCUCACGGAGAAGGUGUAGAAACCGUGGCCCCCAAUUGGGUCUUAUGGGUUGUGCUUCUCCGAGGAGUAUUAGAAGGUCAAGAAGACGAUCUGAGGUGGAGACUAGAGAAGAGAGAGAUUUGUGUUUAGCGGAAGAGUUUGUGAAGGCUAGAAAGAGGAAACAGAGCGGGAGGUCGAAGAAGGAGAAGCUCAGUUUGGUUCCAGUUCCAUCGACGCCUUCGAGUUCAACGACUCCAAGUAUAUCUAAGAUUUCUCUAUUUGGUGUUCUUGAUUGAUUUGGUUUCUAUCUGUUCUGAUUUGAUUUGUAUGUGUUUAUUAGAACUUGAUAAUGAUGAGAAUGGUAGUUUGGAUCAAAUUGGGCAGCUGAUAACUGAUCUGAUAAUGUGGAAAGAUGUGGCUAAGUCAAGCCUUUGGUUUGGACUUGGCUCUUUGUUUUUCUUCUCCACUUGCUUCACUCGAGGAGUUAGCUUUAGGUCUGCGUCUUAAACUCGAAUAAAUCGUUAACCAUUGUACAUUUCUGCGAAUGUUUGAUCAUCUAUUAACAGCUCUAAUAUUGAUAAUUACAGCAUUUUCUCAGCAAUUUCCCAGCUUGGACUUCUGUUUUUGGGUCUUGCAUUUGUCUCCAAUUCAAUCUGUCAAAGGUACAGUUUCUAAUGAAUCUUUAAUCACCUCAAAAUCUGUUAAGAGAGUUCCUAAUGUUUAUAAGAUAGAUGGUCAUUCCUCCCAUUAUUAAUUGGGUUUGAUAAAAUCCAAUUGAUUCUUGUUAUAAGGUAAAAUUUGAAAUUGUAGGAACAAUGAUGAAAAGAAACAUAAAGACUUCAAGCUUAAAGAAGAUGACAUAAAACGCUUGGUGAAACUGGUUCUUCCGGCUGCAAAUUUCGCCAUUUUCAAGAUUCGGGAGCUUUUCUGUGGAGAGGCAGAGAUGACCUUGAAAGUAACCAUAAAACUCAACAUCUAUGAUCAUUGAACAAUUUCAAUUAACUAAUCAUAUAAACUUCAGUGGUUGGAUGUUUAAUGGAUUUAAGUAUUUCUGGGGUUUUUCAGGUAGCUCCAUUUCUCAUUUUAGGAGCUGAAUAUGGAUAUCUUAUUACUCUUAGAAGACUCUGUGCAAUUGGUAUAAUACAACAGAAAAAUCAUUUCAGAACUUGCUUAAAAAUCUCUUGUUGAUUUAUGAUCGCUACUUUAAUCUUCAUUCACUUUCAGGGUUCUUUAGCAGUUUCUCUGUGCCAAAGCUGUAUACAUGUUACCAGAUUCAGAUAAACAGCAAAGGUAAAUAGGAAUUCUAGGAAACACCCACUUAAAUAUAGCUACUUCUGCAUUUUGUAUGUAAAAUGUGAUGCUGAAAAAGAAGAAUGAUGAUGGUGGUGGUAUUUUACAGUGGAUGCCGUAAAACAAUGGAUGUUUGAAGCAUGGGAAGCUUGCUCACAUAAGAAGGUUGUGAUAGGAUCAGCAGCCACAGCGUUUUGGAACUUUUCUUCCCUGAAGACCCGAAUUUUCACAGGUAACAAUCAUGUUAGAUGAUCUUAGUUUCUUCAAUCUCCAUUGUUCUAGCUUAAUAAAGGAUGAUUAUUAAGCUCUGUCAGGUUUUGUUUGUUACAGCUUUCAUUGUUCUAGUCAUAGUUCGAUACUGCCGGCAAUUUAUAGUGUCGUCAGAACCGGAAAUUGAAGAAGUACAAGAGGAUGAGAAGCAGGCAUUGGUUGUGGUAGAAGCAGGCAAGGAGGAGGAGCAGAAGCAAGUUCAAGUGGUGGCGGAACCCCAUUGUUAGCUGUGAUUUGGCUUUAGAGUUUUUUUUACUGCCAACACUGAAGUGUAUAAUAAACAAAUGGGCUGUUUAGAGCUUUUUUACCUCUUAAAUUUAAUUGAUUGAUUUAAAGCUCAAACAUCUUUUGGCCAGAAAAUCUCAAAUUAUGAAUUGAAUUUUGACACCAGUAACUCUCUUUUCAAUUGACGUGAAAAGAGUGCUUACAAAAGUUUAUUUCGAGUGUUUUCAAAUACUUUAUAAAAAAUUUCAAAAUGACUCAUUUUUUAAAUUAAAUCGGAGAUAAACCACAAUUUCCUACGUCAAAUUUACUAGCAUGACCUUUGCUGGUUAACCACCACGAUAAGUUUGUCUCUUUUUUUUUGAGUAUUUUUAGUCUCUUUUUAUGUUAAAGAAUAAGUUUAAAGGCUACUUUAAUCAUUAUAAUUUUAGUUUUGAUUCAUUUUGGUUUCUAAAAGUUGAUGUUCAUUUUCUUGAAAGUUCAUACUUGAUUUAUGUUGGUUAUUAUACUUUAAAAAAGUGUUCAUUAUAUUUUGGAACCAAAAUUUGAAGUAGAAGAAUCAAAAUCAAACAUUUUGAAAGUAUAUGAACCAAAAUUAAAAGUAUAAGGACUAAAAUGACCAUUUUAAAAGUACAAGAAUGAAAAUGAACCAAAGUUAAUAGUAUAAAAACCAAAUUACUAUUUAAACAACAUUAGGUGGUUCUUAAAAGGUGAAAAUAGCAAUCAAACGAUUUCUUGGUCCUAGGCACAUUCAGGUUCUACUGAACUAAGCUCUUGAUGACUAAUUAAACACGAUAUUCAUAACUUAAAAGACUUGAGUUUUAAAAGUUAUAUCUUUGAAGCUAAAAAAUUCAACUGAUUUGUUGUUGGUUCUGGAUCACGAACUCAACUUGGACAACCACAAGAUCUUCCCUCCAAUUCUUAUGACUUGGAGUUAGUUGGUGGGAACUAGUUUGAUAUCAAAUUUAAGAACAAGUAUGAGAGAACUCUUGGUAUUUUGCUUAGUUUUCAUAAAAUUCCAGCAAUUAGCAUUAGGAAUUAAUCUAACUAAAUCCAUCUAAUAAGCAUUAGUCAUGCAAGUUAAGCAUGUAAAAAGCUCACAAUAACUUGACACUUCAAAUUCGAUUAAGCUUAAUCAAGCUUAAUGAGGCACAUUCAUGAAGAUCACUUAAAAGACGAUCUUGGAUCAUUCAACUGUUUGGAAAUUGGAGUAUCUUAUAUACUUAUAUAAUAUUUAUAAUUUAAUUAAUCAGACUGAAUAACUUAUAAUUUUAAUUAUAUAAUAAAGAAUAAAAAAUAAUUUGUGAAAAAUACUCGUUUGGUCGAGGUUUUAGGUUUAAUUUCUAUUUAACCUUAUGUUUCCAAAUCAAGUACUUAUAUCCCUAAGAUUUGAAUAACACUCAAUUUUAUUCCUUGAGGUAACGAAAUCGUUAGUGAUUUAAAGAAAAGUUGACUAGAAUGAUGAUUAGACUUAUUUGAAAUCUAUGAUGUGGCUAUCUUUUAUUUUCAUGGGACAAGAAAAUAAAUAGAGUCGGAUGGGCGAUAGAUACAUGAUUGGAGGAGGUCAAGUGAGCAUGGAAUACGAGAUUGAAGUUGUUGGGAAAAUUGUACAAAAUAAACUUGUUUCGUCUUCACAAUUCAAAAAUAAAACAUUUUCUAAAAAGUUGUGGAUGUGCCUUUCUCGGCCAAGUUCGAGACUAAGAUUUUCGUUUAAACGUUUUAAAUUCAAAAUGAAGUGUGUUGGACAAUUAUGAAAAUAUCAUUGAAAUUAAAAUAACUCAUCAUCUUCACAUUUAUCCUAUGUCCCCAACUAUUCACUUAGUUUUUCCCCUGAAAUGGGAGGUCUAUAGAGUCGCUAUUGAUGAAUUUCCUUCACUAUGCAGAUCUAAGGACAAUCUCAUGUGAACAUGAAUUCAUAGUUUCGCUUAGUGUUAAAGUCAAGUUACCUAUGUCAUCAGUAAUAGAAAUAGUCAGUUUUAAUCCGUUAACAAUGUUAUAAUGUAAAAAUGACGAUUUUGCGGUUUGGUCUUUAUAAUCUAAUUGCAUACGAUACCCCCACUCACAUGUAUCUGCAUGAGCAUUUUGGGGCACACCACUUGUACUAACUACAAAGUGGGUCGCAUCCAUAAUGUCCCUAAAAUAAGUCAAGGUCAUUAAAGUCAAAAUAGUCAGUUUUAAACAGUAAACAGUGUUAUAAUGUAAAAUUGACUAUUUCAUGAUCCGGCGUAUGCAAUGCUCUUUUACAUAGGAUGUCCCCACUCACGUAUCUCUACACGAAUGAUUUGAAAUCACAUAGCUUAUACUAAAUACAAAGCAGGUCACACCUAUAGUAUCUCCAAAAAGUGUAUUUAUGUGCAAGAAGGAAGUUUGCACACUAGAAACCAAACUGAGUAGUUUAAUCAACAAAAGUAUGGUAGUAACUAUGAAGUUUGUGGUUCAACUCCAUAGUUUUAGGUGCCUUUUUCAUAGAAUUUCAAAAUUGCAUCAUUGUUAUCAUUUGACUUAAUGGGUUGGGGCGUGUCCAAGCUGAAUAUCCUUGCUUCCACUAGAUCCAUUUUGGUCUGAAGUAGCACCUGUCGGCUCAAAUAUUAUUUUUUCUUGACUCAACUGUUGAUAUUAAUAUUAAGAAAUAGGCUUCUAACUUAUUUCAUGUGAUUUCUUGUGCCAAAAAACACCCAUUUCUAGAAGAUUCGAAACUUUCACCUAUCCCAGCUCGUUUUCUUAAAUUGUCUGAAAAAAAAAUACUAUUUUACCUGAUUUUUUAAAUAUGCCGCAUUCAUCACAAAAAAGAAAGAAAGAAAGAAAGAUUGUUACGUUGUUGUUAUUAUUAUAAAGGUAAGGGGGAAAAGUGGCUUCCUGCCAACUUAAUAUUCCAUCAAUAUAACUUUCCUAGUGCGUUUGGGAAACUUUGGAUUAUUCUCAAGAUGUAAUGAAUCGGAUUGAUUGGGAAUAUAAAUAUACACUAAUACCCCUUGAUGUUCUGCACCUUUGUUCGAGAUUUCACCAAACUUAUUUCGUCAACUAAUCAGAAAGAAUACAUAUUUUGGAAUUGCUACGGUUGGUAAGUGUUGUGAGGAAGAUAAAAAAGUAAAAUUACAAAUUUUUAAAAUAUUCAUUCGCUUCGUCUCACAACUAAACUGCAUCACAUGUCUUCUUGCUCCGUUGGCAAUGCUCCCUUUUCUAUAGUCCACCCUCCAACAACAUAAACAAUGACAACAAGCGAAGUUAUUUCCUCUUUCUCCAACAACGCACAAGGCCGACAGCACCACCAUGUAGAGUUCUUUCCACAUCAAACCAACUAAACGCUUAUGACAAGCGUGAGAAAGUGAAGAAGAUAAAUACCGACUUAAUAACUAUCGUCAACAACAGGUUAAAAAGCUGGCCCAAUUUCAUUUUUGGUUCCUUAAAAGAAUAAAUCUCAUUUCCUCGACUAAAUGGAUUGAUAUAGUCAAUGUCAUACGUUUCAAUUCAAUCCGUUUAGUUAGACGGUUGUUUCAGGACAGUUUUAUAUCUUUCUCAAACCAAUACAUUACACAAAACAAAGUAAAGCCAUGAAAGAACAAAUGGGUGGAAAAAGGAGGGGAAAAAUAACCUUCAACACUAAAAUAUAACUAGGAAACAAACUAAACAAUACAUACAGAAAAACUUAUCAGGAC